RNAcentral lists this small RNA (27 nucleotides) under Bombyx mori (domestic silkworm). RNAcentral's name for it is "ovarian small RNA-9659". Lineage: Eukaryota; Metazoa; Arthropoda; Insecta; Lepidoptera; Bombycidae. The record is from RNAcentral.
UUCUAGUGGUGUUUUUAUGGUAUCUGA